CGUUGCAACUUCAGUGGAUCAAUUCCCACCUCAUUGGCCAAUCUCACCCAACUAGUUUAUCUGGACCUAUCAUUUAACGAAUUUGUUGGUCCAAUCCCAUCUCUACAUAUGUCCAAAAAUCUCACCCAUCUAGACCUCUCAUGCAACGCUCUGCCCGGUGCGAUCUCAUCCACAGACUGGGAACAUCUCUCCAAUCUUGUUUAUGUUGACUUGAGGAACAAUUCAUCUCUCCAAUCUUGUUUAUGUUGACUUGAGUGGAAGCAUCCCAAGAUCUCUGUUUUCACUUCCAAUGCUACAGCAGCUUCAGCUUGCCAACAACAAAUUUGGUGGCCCAAUUCCCGAAUUUUCAAAUGCAUCAUACUCUGCACUUAGUACGCUUGAUUUAAGUGCCAAUAGAUGAGAAGGGCCUAUUCCCAUGUCCAUAUUUGAACUCAAAAAUCUUAAAAUCCUUAUGCUUUCUCCUAACAAGCUCAAUAGCACUGUACAGCUAGCUGCAAUUCAGAGGCUUGGGAAUCUUACUAGACUCGAGCUUUCAUACAACAACUUGACAGUGAAUGCCAGUAGUGAUUCUUCCUUCCCCUCACAGGUUAGCAGACUGAGAUUGGCUUCUUGCAAACUGAGGGUGAUUCCUGAUCUUAAGAAUCAAUCAAAACUAUCUUACUUGGAUCUUUCAGACAAUCAAAUAUAUGGGGAAAUACCAAAUUGGGUUUGGGAAAUUGGGAAUGGUAAUCUUGUACAUCUAAAUCUUUCACACAAUCUCCUGGCCAGUCUGCAAAGACCUUAUAAUAUUUCUGAUCUCACUUGCAUGACUGUCCUAGACCUACAUUCCAACCAGCUCCAAGGAAACAUACCUUAACCACCACCAUAUGCAGCCCUUGUAGAUUACUCCAACAAUAAUUUUACUUCUUCCAUCCCAGAUGACAUUGGUAAUUCCAUGAACUUCACUGGCUUUUUUUCCCUUUCAAGCAAUUCCAUCACAGGAGUCAUCCCGGAAACUAUUUGCAGAGCAAAAAAUCUAUUAGUUCUUGACCUGUCAAAGAAUAAGUUGAGUGGAAAAAUGCCAACUUGUUUGAUCAAAAUGAGUGAGAUUCUUGGUGUUCUAAAUUUGAGGGGAAACAGCCUCAGUGGCACUCUAUCUGUCACAUUUCCGGGAAAUUGUGGAUUACAAACACUUGAUCUCAACGAAAAUCAACUAGGUGGAACAGUUCCAAAAUCCUUGGCCAAUUGCAGAAAGUUGGAGGUUCUAGACCUCGGGAAUAACAAGAUCAGAGAUACCUUUCCAUGCUGGCUAAAGAAUAUCUCAAGUUUGCGUGUCCUAGUUUUGCGAUCGAACAGCUUUUAUGGGAGUAUUACUUGUCGAGAGAACGAUGACUCCUGGCCAAUGCUUCAAAUUGUUGACAUAGCUUCGAACAACUUUGGCGGAAGAGUCCCCCAGAAAUGCAUAACUUCCUGGAAGGCAAUGAUGUCUGAUGAAGAUGAAGCACAAUCAAACUUCAAACACCUCCAUUUUGAGUUCCUGAAGUUAAGUAAAAUGUACUAUCAGGAUGUGGUGACAGUUACCAGCAAAAGUCGAGAGAUGGAAUUAGUGAAGAUCCUAAGUAUAUUCACAUCCAUUGACUUUUCAAUGAACAAUUUUGAAGGGCCAAUACCAGAAGAGAUAGGACGACUCAAAUCGAUUUACGGUCUGAACUUGUCACAAAAUGCUUUUACGGGCCCCAUCCCAUCAGCUAUUGGAAACUUGCAACAGCUUGGGUCUUUAGACAUCUCAAUGAAUCAUCUGAGUGGGCAGAUCCCCACAUCGCUUGCAAACAUAUCUUUUCUAUCCUUCCUGAAUCUUUCACACAAUGACCUAGUGGGAGAGAUUCCAACAGGUACUCAACUUCAAUCAUUUUUGCCAAAUUCUUUCGAAGGUAACGACGGCUUAUGCGGUCCUCCGUUGAAUGUUUGCCAAACAAAUUCCAGCAAGGCACUUCCUUCAGCAGCAGCUUCAACAGAUGAAAUCGAUUGGUUUUUCAUAGCGAUGGCAAUUGGAUUUGUGGUAGGCUUUGGAUCAGUUGUUGCACCUCUAAUGUUUUCAAAGAUGAUAUAAAUUAUUUCACGCGCAGAAACGAUAGUUGAUAAAUCUGUUGAUGAGAUUGUUAUACCAUUUGUUUAUACCAUUUGAUGAGAAACGAUACCAUUUGUUAACAAGAAAUUUCAAGUAAGAGGAUACAUUAUUUUGACAAUCUUUACCUCUAGUUCGAGUACUCCAAACCAGAUGUAGGCCGUUAAUUCAUAUAUAGACAUGCAUGCAUGUAAUAUGAGACAAAUGAUUAUUGCUACAACUAUAAAUAAAUUAAUAUAACUUGACUAUCGAAUAGACGUAGGAAAUAGCUACCGGUUUCAUAUUUAUUUGGGUGCUUAAUUUUUAGAGUAAUUUUAAAAUAAGAGAAUUCUUCAUUUUACUAAAAUAAGGAACCAUAAAAAAGAUCUAAAUUUUAAUUUUUUUAAACUUUUCCUUUAUUUAAAUAAAAUAAAAUAAAAAGUUUAUGACUUAGAAAAUGACUAUUAUCUUGUUCGCUUCGGAGCAGAGGAGGAUGUGGAAUUUGCUCUCACGCAAGGCCCUUGGACUAUCUUUGGGCAUUACUUAACUGUUCAAAAGUGGUCUCCAUCCUUUGAUUGCUUAUCCGAUAAGAUUGAAACCAUAGUGGCGUGGAUCAGACUUCCAGGCAUGCCAUUGCAUUACUAUCAUAAAAGGGUCCUUCGAAUCCUGGGGGAAGUGGUUGGUCGUGUUAUAAGGAUAGAUUACAAUACGGAGGCUGCAAAACGUGGAAAAUUUGCUCGAGUUGCUGUUGAAAUCUGUUUGAAUAAGCCUUUAGUCUCACAAUUUCAGUUGAAUGGCAAGAUUCAAAGGAUUGAAUAUGAGGGGCUCCCCACUAUAUGUUUUGAGUGUGGCAAGUAUGGGCACACAACUGAUACCUGUCAAAGCAAACAGGGGGUGCCGAGAGGGCAAGGCUGCGACGGAGUAUAUCAACCGGAGGGUGAAGCGACGGGAGUAACGAUGGAUCUUGCAACCGUUGAUAACCCGAAUAAUUCGCUUUUUGGUCCUUCGAUGAUUGUUGCUAAAAAAAGGAAGGCCACGGAAGGCUAAGGAAUGUACGAUCCAAGGAAAUUAUAAUCAAGCCCAGAAUGGUAAUGUUCGAUCUGGUUCCCGUUUUUCGCUCCUCAAUGCUAAAGAUAAUAUGGAUAAUGAGCGCAAAAUCAAUGAAAGGAUUCCUAGCAAUCAUGCACUUGAGAUCAGCCUGGACUUGCAAGAUGAAAACCAAAAUAGCAAUCAGCCCAUGCAACAUAACCAUAGAUAUUCCUUACGUAAACACAAUCAAAGGUCAAACCGUGGCAACGUUGCUCAUCCUCCCAGCCCUAGCCUGGUCCAGUUACGUCCCCGCCCUCCCCAUGCAAACCAUGCAGACCAAAACAAACUCUUAUCACCAGACAUACACAAUAUUAACCCAGCCCUUGCCACAUUACAGAAUCAGUCAGCCACUACCAGAGCCAACCAACCCCACCUCGCAAGUACUUCCAUUGAUCCUCUUAAACAUUCGGUGUACUCCUUUGCUAAUCCCCCUGAUGGUGCGGACAUGCUGACUCAGUUUGCUAGAGCGAACCCUCUUUUUGCCAAUAUGACAAAGGAUAAUAGUAACAAUCCCAUGGGUGAACCACCUGAUAAUGGGGGAUGGAAUGGGAUUGGUGAAGAUGAGGAAUCGGAAGGAAGCACUUAUGUGGCUCGAUGUGGUGUUGACGAGUCCUGAGAUGAUUCAGAAUCUGAAGGGUCUCUAGAGGAAGAGACAGAUAUGGAGUUGGAGCUUCAAGCUCACACCCUUCGUCAGUAAGGGUUUUGGUUCUUUUCUCCAAUCUUUUUGUUUAAUGAUUUUUUCCAUUAUGUUUUAGAAUUGCCAAGGUGCACUUGCCCCUGAAUUUCAAAGGACUUUCAAAGCCCUUAUUCAGAAGUAUAAUCCUUCCAUGGUUGCAUUGUUUGAACCAAGGAUAAGUGGGAAAAAGGCUGAUGAGUUUAUUUUUCGAAGUGGAUUUGAGCGGUCGCAUAGAAUUGAGGCCGAAGGUUUCUCCGGAGGUAUUUGGUUAAUGUGGAAAGACUGUGUUAAAGUGGAGGUGAUCAUAAACCAUAAGCAGUUCAUUCAUUUUCGUAUUGCUAAUGAUAUUGGUUUCAUCUCUUGGGUUACUGCAGUUUAUGCAAGUCCAAAUAAACAUAUUAGGAACCUUCUAUGGAAGGACCUUGAAGCAGUGGCUCGUAAUGUGCCGGGACCUUGGCUCCUUGGAGGUGAUUUUAAUACUAUUUUACAUCCCUCAGAGAGGAGAGGUGGUUCGACUCGCUUAAAUGGUGUUUGUCAGCGGUUUAGUGAUUGGUUUCAUCGGAAUCAGUUUUGUGAUCUUGAAUUCAGUGGGCCGAAAUUCACUUGGGAGAGAGGAAACUUGCUGAAGCGCCUAGAUAGAAGUUUUUGUAAUGAUGAGUGGGUUCAGAAAUUUGUAAAUUCCCAAGUCAUGCACUUGCCUAAACUCAACUCGGACCAUCGCCCUAUUCUAGUUAAUUUUGAGAGGGUAAGUCGGCAAGUUAGUGGUGUUAAGCCAUUCCGCUUCUUGGCGUCUUGGCUCACUGACAGCAGGUUUAAAACCUUUUUUUUUGAGACGUGGCGAGGGAGUGGAGAUUAUGUGAACUCGGCUGGCCAUUUUAUUACGGAGGUGCGGAAAUGGAACAAGGAGGUCUUUGGGUACAUACACAAACAGAAAAAUAAUAUCUUAGCAAGAUUGGCCGGAAUUCAACGUGCUCUAGAGUGGCACAGAUCUAGAAACCUGAUGGAUCUAGAGAUGAACCUAAAGAGGGAAUUGGAGAGUAUUUUGAGUCAGGAGGAGAUUUUGUGGUAUAAAAAAUCUAGGCGUGAUUGGAUUGAGUUUGGGGAUCGAAAUACUAAGUAUUUUCAUCGCCAGACAAUCAAGAGGAGAAGACAGAACCAAAUAGUGAUGCUUAAUGAUGAGCAUGACAAUUGGAUUGAGGAUGUGGAUAUUAUCAAGCUCAUGCUGUAACAUUUUUUAAGAAUCUUUAUACAAAAGAGCCUGGGGAGCAUAUCCCUUACCCUCUGGUGAGUAUAUUUCCUAGAGUUGAUGAGAUUAAUAUUGGCAAACUUAAUGCGGGAGUAUGUGAGGACAAAAUUAGGGAGGUAAUUUUUAGUAUGCAUCAUUUUAAGGCUCCGGGGAUUGAUGGCCUGUAUGCUAUAUUUUAUCAGACACAAUGGGAUACUGUGGGAAGUUCGGUUUGUAAUUUGGUGCAGGGGAUUUUUAAUGGACAGCGAAUUCCUAGUGAGAUUAAUAAAACUCUAAUUGUGCUUAUUCCGAAAGUUGAGCAUCCGGAUAGCCUCCGAUUAUAUCGACCUAUAAGUCUGUGUCCUGUCAUAUACAAAGCAAUUACGAAGAUUAUGGCGAAUAGACUAAAGGGCAUUCUCCCUGACUUGAUAGGGCCAAUGCAGACUAGUUUUGUCCCUGGAAGGCACAUAAGGGAGAAUAUUAUUAUUGCCCAGGAAAUUAUUUAUACCAUGCGUCGGAAGUCAGGAAAGAUUGGCCAGAUACUAAUUAAAGUGGAUCUGGAGAAAGCUUAUGAUAGACUAAGUUAGGAUUUCAUCUUUGAAACUCUAUGUGAAGCGGGGCUUCCGUAAAAUCUUAUCCAUAUCACAAUGGAUUGUAUCACUUCAGCCUCUAUGCAGAUUUUGUGGAACGGGGAAUGUACUGAGGAUUUUGUUCCAUCACGGGGGAUUAGACAAGGAGACCCUAUUUCUCCAUAUAUUUUUGUCCUUUGUAUCGAGAGACUUAGCCACAGAAUUCUUCGUGCGGUUAAUACUGGCACUUGGAGGCCAAUUCGACUUUCUAAGCGAGGUACCCCUAUCACUCAUGUAUUUUUUGCUGAUGAUUUAUUACUUUUUGCUGAAGCUUCUUGCAAUCAAGCUGCUAUGAUCAAUGAUGUUCUUAAUACGUUCUGCGUGAGCUCGGAGGCGAAGGUCAGUAAACAGAAGUCUCAAGUUUUCUUUUCUAAGAAUGUUAAACCGUGUAAUGUGCGUAAUAUUGGCACAACUCUUGGGUUCUCUAUGACUACGGAUUUGGGUAAUUAUUUGGGUAUGCUGGUUUUGCACUCGAGGGUUAGUAAAGCAACAUAUCAUGGCAUAUUAGAGAAUGUGGAGCGUAAACUAAAUGGUUGGAGUGCUAAACAUUUAUCUCUUGCUGGUAGAGUCACUCUCACACAGACUGUGCUGCAGGCGUUGUCGAUUUUUUCAAUGCAAACAACGAGACUACCUACAGCGAUUAUAACUAAACUUAAGCAUCAAUGCCGUAGAUUUAUUUGGAGUGGAAACUCGGAGGUUCAAAAGAUUCAUCUGAUUAAUUGGGCUGAGGUGUGUCGUUCGAAACUAUCAGGAGGUCUGGGAUUGAAGAAUUUAACGAUUAUGAAUGAAGCACUAUUAAUGAAACUUGGUUGGAGCUUGCUAGUCAAUAGUAAUAGCUACUGGGCACAGGUUCUCUGCUCGAAGUAUGGCUUUGAUCCUACCACUAUGUCAACUUCCUUGCCUACAAAAUAUGGCUCAUAUUUGUGGAAGGCUAUUGGUCGGGUUUGGCCAAAGGUUUUGCAGGGGCUACGAUGGAAUGUGAGGGACGGUAAGCGGAUUCGUUUUUGGCAGAAUGCUUGGGUUGCGGAUGUUGGGCCAUUCUUUCAUCUUGCCGUGGCUCCUAUUCCUGAAGCUAUUUUACAUGAUUGGGUAGCUGAUGCCAUUAGUUUUGAUGGUUCAUGGAAUUGGAGCCGUUUUGGUUUUCUUCUCCCUCAUAAUGUGGUCUUAAUGAUUGCAGCUAUUACGCCUCCUACCCCGGUUAGUAAGGCUGAUCAGUUUUAUUGGGGAUCAUCAAAUUCGGGAAUGUUCACGGCAAGAACAGCUUUUAACUCGAUUCUUGGAAACUUUGCUCAGGACGAGGAGGUGAGAUGGAAGAGUAUCUGGAAAUGGAGAGGGCCUCACAGAAUCCGGACUUUCCUUUGGCUUACUGCAAAGGAAAGAAUUAAAUGCAAAGCCGAGCUUUAUAGAAGACAUAUUGGGGUGGAUAUGAUAUGCAUGCGAUGUGGUUAUGCUGUAGAGGAUACGGCUCAUGCCCUUCGUGACUGUGUCACAUCUAGGAGAAUCUGGAAUAUGUUGUUAGCAGGUCAUAAGAGUGGUUCUUUCUUCACGUUGCCAACCCGUGAUUGGAUGUUCGCCAAUAUUCAAGGUAUGGGUAAUCAUGGUAGUAAUCGAGAAUGGAGUUGCAUAUUCGGAGUAGCCAUCUGGUGUAUAUGGGUGGCAAGGAAUCAAUUGCUUUUUGAAAAUAAAGUUGUGAAUGCGGAAAGCAUGGUUCGGGAUAUCAAGAUACGAGCUGAGGAGAUACUUCGUACUUCUGAGGCUUUUCAAAGUGAUAGCGGGCUGAGAGUUCAAGAUAUGUUUGGUUGGUUGCCUCCUCGAUGGCCGUAUUAUAAAUUAAACUCUGAUGGUGCAAGGAAGGGAUCCGGUUUGGCGGGUGCAGGGGGUUUAAUUAGAGAUGCUACUGGUAGAUGGCAUGGUGGCUUCUGCAUGAAUAUUGGUAUUUGUUCGGUAACAAUUGCAGAGUUUUGGGGUUUGUAUCAGGGACUGAUAUUGACUUGGAAAAUGGGUAUAAGAUUGUUGGUGGUGGAGAUAGAUAGCAUCUAUGUUACUCAGUUGCUAAACAGGAAAAGUCUUAAUGCUACCUUGCCUCUUGUUAAUGAUAUUCUUGGUCUUCUCUCCCGUGAGUGGUAGGUGUCUGUUCAUCAUGUUUAUCGCGAAGCUAAUUUCGCGGCAGAUUUCAUGGCUAGCCAUGCACUUACUCUCCCUCUUGGCAUUCACUAUUUUACUAUCCCUCCACUGGGCGUCAAGACCUGGCUUCGGAAUGCUGGGUUAGGAACUGCGUUUCCUCGUGCUUGUAAGCCUUAGCUUUUGCUGGGGUCCUUUGUUUUAGCAAAAAAUAAAAUAUUCUUUUAUCAUAAAAUUACUGUGUAUGAGUAUAUCGUCCAUUUAUUCGUUUGGAGAAUCGGAAGUCGUAUUUCAUACGUUCAACAGAAAGAGAAAUUUUUAGAAGAUGACAAAGAAAUGAGCCCAAUCAAGACCUUAAAAGGACUUUCAUAUCUUCCCAUCUUAUUGUCAAACAAAUGAAGUCUUCAGGAUAUUACUUUCAAAAUGGACAUGUAGCCAAAAGCUCUCAAUUUUCUUCUCCAAUUGCCUUCUUCUUUAAGCUGCGCGACAGGAUUAAUUUGGCGUAAGAGUUGGACACGUAUUUAAUCCUGCAGGUACUGACACUCCUUCAAUAUCCUUCUAAAACCCCAUUUUUGAAUUAAUUAAUUGAUCAUUGACGAAAAUCACAUAAAUGUACAAGUUUUAACUAAAACCGACGCAUACUUCUUACUGGAAUUCUUCUCGUCCGCACAAUGUUCGGCUUCCCAUCCACACAAAUCGUAAACACCAUUCUCUGCUUUAAGAUUUCUUGUGAUAAGUUCUAAAUAAUGUAAAACAAUAAUAAAAUUUAUGAAUAUAUGGGCUGGAGUGCAGGAAAAUCAUAAUAUAACGAGAAUAGCUGUCAUUGUAGUAUUUGUCCUUUUAUGUAAAUCUGGGUAAAGAUUGAAUUUUAAAUGCAAAAAUGGUGUUGUUUUAUAAAAAUUUUGGAGUUAGUGGCAAAUAGCAGAAAACAUAAGUUGGAGUAUCUACAUUAGAAAUAGGCCAGCGAUAUAAAGUUACUUUGCCUCAUAAAUAGAGUCGGCCUCUAAAAACAUUACUAAAAGGUUCUUUACGUGAAAUUUUAUUAUUUAUUUAAAAAAUCACAUCAUCUAUCAUUUUAAAACUCAUUUUAGAAUUAUACUUCUUCUAAUACUGAAAAGUAACAACACCCUUUAUUUCUAAACUAUUUAAUUUUUUUUCUACAGUUUUUAGUUGUUUUUUCACUCUAAAAAUUCUUCGAAAAAAAUAAAUAAAUUAAAAUCUUCUUCCCUCACCCUUCACAUAAAUAACUUUAUGGGUGAUAAAUUUUUUAAAGCAUUGUUAUCCUUAUUCUUCUCUUCAAACUUUCUCUCUCAACAAACCUAAAAAACAAUAGUUUCACAAAAAUUAUAAAAAUUAAUCAAUAAAAUAAAGAAAAAGAGAAAUGUGUUAUUUUAAAUUUUUGUAAACCAAUUGAAUAGUUAGAGUCAAAAAUUGAAAAAAAUUAACAAAAUAGAUUAAUAAUAAAUAUUAAGAGUUUGCAUUUUGCAGCAAUAUAGAGAAAAAAAUAGUGUAAGUAAAAGAGAUGGGAUAAAAUAUAAAUUGUUCAUUAUAUUUGUGUGUGUUUAUCCUUAAAUGUCAUUUUAAUGGAAGAGAAGUUUUAUCAUUAUAUUAAAAAGGUGUUAAAAGCACCACUAUCAGAAAACAAAAAUAUUGCUUGAAAUUUUUGCAGAUAAACAUGAAGGUAUUGUUUGGUUGGGAGGAGAGGAUGGAGGAGAGGAAAGUAAUUCAAAUUCUAUUUUUAUUUCCAUUGUUUGGUUGCACAUAAUAUAUAACAAUUUAAUUUCCAUUAAAAUUUAAUAUCCCUUAUAGUGUAGAAUUUGAAAUUCACACCAAAGAGUGAAGAAUUCAAAUUCCUCUUAUGUUGAAAAUCUAAGCUUCCAAAAUUGUCCUUAAACAUUUUUACUUGUUUAAUGCUAUUAAUAAUAAUUAUUUUAUAAUAUUAUAAAUAAUUUAAUAUUAAUUAUAUUUAAUGAAUGAUCUAAGAAAUUUAAUAAAAUAAAUAAACUUAUUUAUUUAUUUAAUAUAAAAAUAUAUAAAUAUAAAUUAACUACUUCUAGAAGAAUAUAGCUAUUUUGUGAUUAUUUUAUUAUAUACAAAAAGUGUAAUCAUUUUAAAGUAUUAAAGAAAAAAAUUAUAAUUUCUUUCUCUAUUAAAUUUUAUGUCAAACCAAACAAUGAAAUUUAAUUUUACUAUUUUCUUCCACUCCUUUCUUUUCCUCUCCUCCCCUUUCUUAAAACCAAACACCAGCGAAAAAUCUUGAGAAGAGAAGCAAAUUGAGUGGGUAUUGCUGCAGUGUUCACCAAAAUUUUUGUCAGAUUCCAUCUUCUAACGCCUCUAAUUUUAGAAUUGGAUCUUCAAUAUGUUGUUUUCUAACACUUGAGGAGAGUAGCAAAACCGGUGGCUAUUGCUGCAAUGUUUGCCAAAAUUUUGACCAAAUUCUAGCAUCGAAGGCCUCUAAUUUGCAUUAGAAUUGGGUCUACAAUAUGUUGUUUCAAAACUCUUGAUAAGAGGAGCAAACACAUAUGGCUACUGCCAUAAUAUCUGUCGAAUUUUUACACUCUUGUAACUAGCGUGAGCUCAAAAUAAUUAAUAAUCACAAUCAAAAUAUAAUGAAAAAAUAUAACGGACUACUUUUAGUUAUAAUCCCACUCAUGAAAACUAAAAACUGAGUGCUAAUAUUGAUAACACAAUAAUUAGAGGUAAAGAGUUCGGGUGUCCGAUGCUGCGGCCUUCUUUUAGUUUUAUUUAAAAAAGAAUUAGAAAUAAAAAUUUAUAAUAUAAUCCACACGUAAGUUGCGUACGACGAGUUAUUUAAUUGAGUUGCUUACGGGUCAAGUCAACUCCGGUGGGUCCGCGGCAAAAAUUAUUUUUUUACCUAAUGAGCAGAUAGAAACCGGAGAAGACGUUGGGGCAAAUAAUUCAGUAGGUCCACUGGAAACUAGGGUACGUGGGGCCUGUCGCAGAGGUGCCCACAUUCACAAAGAUUUGUUAUCACUCAGUAAUCAGUUGUAGCAUACAAUAUGAAUACAUGGAAAAAUCUUACCCAUUUUUCACGGUGUGAAUUUUGUGAAGAGCAAGAAAUUUCAUGCUAUUGUAGUAAAAAAGUUGCUAGCUAUAUGCAUGUGCUUAACAAAAGUUGGAUUCGGUGCUGACUUUUCAACAAAGCCGACCAUCCUAUUGCCUGGAAUUCCUCCCUUCUCUUCUUUCUUCUUUUACCUUGCAAUUUUCUUGUCAUGUCGUGCCAAUUUAAAAUAAUAUUCGUGCAUUAUACGAUGAACCCAUGAGCGAAACCACUUUUUCAUGAGUUUACACAUAUAAAUUCGGCACAAGUGCUAUUACUUUAUUCAAGUUUCAAUUAUAUUCGGGGUAUUCAGUUACUAACUUGUUUCCAAUGAGUGUUCUACAGUUGUCAUGGCUUUUCUUGAUACCGUUGUUGACGAAUUUCGGGGGAAUCAAUACGGUUUUGGUUUCUGGCCAGUGUCAGAGUGAUCAGCAAUCCUUGUUGCUCCAAAUGAAGAGCAGCCUAGUAUUCAAUUCUUCUCUGUCUUUCCGUAUGGUGCAGUGGAGUCAAAGCACCGAUUGCUGCACCUGGUGCGGUGUGGAUUGCGAUGAGGCUGGUCGCGUCAUUGGUCUCGACUUGAGCGAGGAAUCAAUCUCCGGUAGAAUUGACAAUUCAAGUCCCCUUCUCAGUCUAAAGUAUCUGCAGAGCCUAAAUUUGGCUUUUAAUAUGUUCAAUGCCACUGAAAUUCCAUCCGGAUUGGGAAACCUCACAAAUUUGACUCAUCUGAAUCUCUCCAAUGCUGGCUUCGCGGGGCAGAUUCCAAUUCAGGUUUCAGCGAUGACAAGGUUGGUUACUCUUGAUUUGUCAAGUUCGUACUCCUUCGGAGGUCCCUUGAAACUUGAGAACCCGAAUUUAAGUGGGCUCCUUCAGAACCUCGCAGAGCUCAGAGCACUGUAUCUUGAUGGUGUAAAUAUAUCAGCUCCUGGAAUUGAAUGGUGUCAGGCUUUAUCAUCUUUGGUGCCUAAACUGCGUGUUUUGAGCUUGUCCAGCUGUUACCUUUCAGGCCCUAUCCAUCCUUCCCUUGCAAAACUUCAGUCACUCUCAGUGAUUUGUUUGGAUCAGAAUGAUCUGUCGUCUCCAGUUCCAGAGUUUUUGGCUGAUUUCUUUAAUUUGACGUCGUUGAACCUCAGUAGUAGUGGGUUGAACGGGACAUUCCCAGAAACGAUUUUACAGGUACACACACUUCAGACACUUGACUUAUCAGGCAACAGUUUACUUCGGGGCUCUUUGCCUGAUUUUCCCAAGAAUAGCUCUCUUCGAACCCUGAUGCUCAGUUACGCAAACUUCUCAGGUGUACUACCAGAUUCCAUAGGCAACCUUAAAAAUUUGUCGAGAUUAGAUCUUGCACGUUGCAACUUGAGUGGAUCAAUUCCCACCUCAUUGGCCAAACUCACACAACUAGUUUAUCUGGAUCUAUCAUCUAACAAAUUUGUUGGUCCAAUCCCCUCUCUACAUAUGUCCAAAAAUCUCACCCAUCUAGACCUCUCAAACAACGCUCUGCCCGGUGCGAUCUCAUCCACAGACUGGGAACACCUCUCCAAUCUUGUUUAUGUUGACUUGAGGAACAAUGCACUCAAUGGAAGCAUCCCAAGAUCUCUGUUUUCAAUUCCAAUGCUGCAGCAGCUUC
RNAcentral lists this long non-coding RNA (12511 nucleotides) under Citrus sinensis (sweet orange). Its description in RNAcentral is "long non-coding RNA (CSIN_LNC002597)". Lineage: Eukaryota; Viridiplantae; Streptophyta; Magnoliopsida; Sapindales; Rutaceae. The record is from RNAcentral.